AUGUCUUCCUCCAGUGCCACCCAAUCCAAUCUAAGCGGUCAGGUCACAGAGAAGCUCUCCCGAACGAACUACGUCCUAUGGCGUACCCAAAUCACGCCGCAGUUGAGGGGAGCCGGCCUCUAUGGCUACGUCGACGGCACCCAGCCGGAGCCGUCCCGCCUUCUCGUCACCAAGGACAAGGAUGGGAAGGAGUCGUCCGAGCUCAAUCCUCUCCAUCCCAUCUGGGUAAGGGAGGACCAAUAGGUUUUAGGCUACCUGCUCAACAACCUCACCAAAGAGGUGCUCAUCGCGGUCACCGCGGUC
This 303-nucleotide ribosomal RNA is filed under the name Triticum aestivum (bread wheat). RNAcentral describes it as "partial small subunit ribosomal RNA". Lineage: Eukaryota; Viridiplantae; Streptophyta; Magnoliopsida; Poales; Poaceae. The record is from RNAcentral.